AGAGUUUGAUCCUGGCUCAGGACGAACGCUGGCGGCGUGCCUAACACAUGCAAGUCGAACGAGAAUCUAUGGAAAGAGGCUUCGGCCAAUUGAAGUAGAGGACAGUGGCGGACGGGUGAGUAACGCGUGAGCAACCUGCCUCGGAGUGGGGGACAACAGGGGGAAACCUCUGCUAAUACCGCAUAAUGUCAUUGGGUGGCAUCACUUAAUGACCAAAGAUUUAUUGCUCUGAGAUGGGCUCGCGUCUGAUUAGGUAGUUGGUGAGGUAACGGCUCACCAAGCCUACGAUCAGUAGCCGGGUUGAGAGACUGAACGGCCACAUUGGGACUGAGAUACGGCCCAGACUCCUACGGGAGGCAGCAGUGGGGAAUAUUGGGCAAUGGGCGAAAGCCUGACCCAGCAACGCCGCGUGAAGGAAGAAGGCUUUCGGGUUGUAAACUUCUUUUACCAGGGACGAAGGACGUGACGGUACCUGGAGAAAAAGCUCCGGCUAACUACGUG
RNAcentral lists this ribosomal RNA (501 nucleotides) under uncultured Oscillospiraceae bacterium. RNAcentral describes it as "bacterial SSU rRNA". It matches the Rfam family "Bacterial small subunit ribosomal RNA", at positions 8 to 507 of the family's 1533-position model. The record is from RNAcentral. Lineage: Bacteria; Bacillati; Bacillota; Clostridia; Eubacteriales; Oscillospiraceae.